GUGCAAGCGUAGCAGAAUGGGCUCCAGCUCGGCUGGACGAUGACCAGGAGGAGCUCCGGCUCCAACAGACAUCUCCACUGCAGGAGGAGGAGAGCGGCCACACAGUGCCGGGAAGAGGAGGGGACGACACGGAGGACGACAGGAGAUGCUGCCUCAGCUGGUUUUGGGAUGGACUGCCUUGCUCAGCGGCCUCCAGCCGGCUGUUGCCUCUGUUACCACCAGAUUUCUAUCUACCAGAGACAGCAGGUGGUCACCUCGGAGAUGUGACGUCUUCAUCCCUCCUCCUCCUCCACCACCUGCGUUUCCUACAGUCAAACGGAAAGCAGAGCUGAUGGUUGAUAUAACCGAGCAAAUCACAGGAGCAAAAGGGGAAAAGGGCUGCAGAGGACCCAGAGGACCCAAGG
This is a long non-coding RNA of Epinephelus fuscoguttatus (brown-marbled grouper), 404 nucleotides long. RefSeq lists it as uncharacterized. NCBI's taxonomy places the organism in Eukaryota, Metazoa, Chordata, Actinopteri, Perciformes, Serranidae. The record is from RefSeq and is a predicted model, not a curated record. The transcript is spliced from 5 exons.